Long non-coding RNA from Juglans microcarpa x Juglans regia, 935 nucleotides. RefSeq lists it as uncharacterized. The record is from RefSeq and is a predicted model, not a curated record. Lineage: Eukaryota; Viridiplantae; Streptophyta; Magnoliopsida; Fagales; Juglandaceae. The transcript has 3 exons.
GAGUGAGGAGAUUUUUAUUGUAUAGAAAGGAAGAGAGAUAAUGAGAGACUAUAAAUAAAUAUAUUAUAGAAGACUCAUUCUCAAAAUUUCUGUAGAGGUAAGCCUUAUGUUAAAUCACGUAAAUCUAGGUGUUAUUAUUUUUUAAUUUUUUUUACAUUUAUUUACUACUCACCGUUAUGUAUUUACACACCGACGCCGUAUAACCGUAUCGGACCACCGUCAGAGACUUCACACUACACUGAUUGAGGCCCGAUCAACUUCAACGGGCUGGGAAUGGAUCUUUCUAUCCGUCCAGCCUGUUGUGCCGUUUUAAGGUUUUAACAGAAGGAGAUGGAAAUUUGUAUUUGCAUGGCUGUUUUGUGACUUCAACUGGUAAAAGGGAUUUUUUACAAGUGAUAUUUUGAAAAAAAAAUGUCGAAGAUGUAACUUGAGGAACUUGAGCGAGAGGAACUUGAGGUUGUGCUUCAGGGCGCGGACUUUCUUGAAAUCGAUCAUCCAGUCGGCCCUUUCGGUACUAAGGUCAGUGUCGUUUGAACUUAAAAAUCUUUACUUUGGUGUUUAUAAAUUAUAAUGAACCUUUAAAUACUUAAUUGUAGAUUUUUAAUCGGCUCUUGAUGUACUUUUCCAGUGUCGGAUCAAUGCUUCUUAUGUCACUUUGACCGGUUUGGAAUGAGAUUUUUUCUUUUUGGUGUUGAUAAUUGAGACAUUGGGAACAACUUUGAUUAAUUGGGAAAUGAGACUACAUCACCUAUAACUUAUUCAUGUAGCUUUUACGAGUUUAUAAUCGAUCAUUAAUGGUUGCAUAGAGGCUUUUGUGUAAUGUUCGUUUGUUGAAGUAUGCUGCUACAGUUUUACCGAUAAAAAAAAAUGGUAUGUUCCUGCAGUUUUUCUGGAUUCAUUUUUCAUUACCUUUUGCAAAUAUUAUUCUCUCUCUG